Molecule: ribosomal RNA, 231 nt
Filed under: uncultured Alicycliphilus sp.
Lineage: Bacteria; Pseudomonadati; Pseudomonadota; Betaproteobacteria; Burkholderiales; Comamonadaceae
Description: partial 16S ribosomal RNA
Rfam family: Bacterial small subunit ribosomal RNA
Source: RNAcentral
AGAGAUGCACUGGGCUUAAAGCGUGCGCAGGCGGUUUUUGUAAGACGGAGGUGAAAUCCCCGGGCUCAACCUGGGAACUGCCUUUGUGACUGCAAGGCUGGAGUGCGGCAGAGGGGGAUGGAAUUCCGCGUGUAGCAGUGAAAUGCGUAGAUAUGCGGAGGAACACCGAUGGCGAAGGCAAUCCCCUGGGCCUGCACUGACGCUCAUGCACGAAAGCGUGGGGAGCAAACA